GUGGGGAAUCUUAGACAAUGGGCGCAAGCCUGAUCUAGCCAUGCCGCGUGAGCGAUGAAGGCCUUAGGGUUGUAAAGCUCUUUCGUGGGGGAAGAUAAUGACUGUACCCCAAGAAGAAGCCCCGGCUAACUCCGUGCCAGCAGCCGCGGUAAUACGGAGGGGACUAGCGUUGUUCGGAAUUACUGGGCGUAAAGCGCACGUAGGCGGACUGGAAAGUCAGGGGUGAAAUCCCGGGGCUCAACCCCGGAACUGCCUUUGAAACUCCCAGUCUUGAGUUCGAGAGAGGUGAGUGGAAUUCCGAGUGUAGAGGUGAAAUUCGUAGAUAUUCGGAGGAACACCAGUGGCGAAGGCGGCUCACUGGCUCGAUACUGACGCUGAGGUGCGAAAGCGUGGGGAGCAAACAGGAUUAGAAACCCGAGUAGUCC
RNAcentral lists this ribosomal RNA (425 nucleotides) under uncultured bacterium. Its description in RNAcentral is "partial 16S ribosomal RNA". It matches the Rfam family "Bacterial small subunit ribosomal RNA", at positions 354 to 796 of the family's 1533-position model. The record is from RNAcentral.